RNAcentral lists this long non-coding RNA (1119 nucleotides) under Felis catus (domestic cat). RNAcentral describes it as "lncRNA (ENSFCAG00000050428.1)". The record is from RNAcentral. Lineage: Eukaryota; Metazoa; Chordata; Mammalia; Carnivora; Felidae.
AUGUACCCGCAAGCACCCCUGCAAUCACCACAUGCCCCUGCUCCCUUGCACACACCCACCUGCCCCAUUGCACUCACCCAACAGUCCUCCUGCAGGUACCCAACUGCCUUCAUUCCCCCUGAAGGCACCCACCUUCCCCCUGCAUGCAACCACCUGCCUCCCCUGGCCUUCUGUAAACACCCCUCCGCAAGCACACAACCACUCCUGCGCAUAUCCACCAGCCCCAAUACACCCACCCAUGCGCCCCCUGCAUGCACUCAGGAGCCCCACUGCAAUCACCCACCUGUCCCCUGCCCCAGUGCACAUACUCACUCCCUUGCAUGCACCCACCUGCCCCCCUGUACUCAUCAACCUGCUUCCCGGCAUGCACCCACAAGCCUCCCCUGCCCCACUGCACACAUGCACCUGCCCCCCUACAUACACCCACCUGGCCCCCUGUAUGCACCCACCUACCCCCCUGGCCUCUGCACCACUCACCCUCCCCCUGCCUAUCUUCAUGCACCCACCUGCCCACCUGCAGCUACCCUCCUGACCCUCUGCAUGCACCACCUGUCCCCCUGCAUGCACUCACCCACCUUAACUUUCUGUGCACUCACCCACCUGCCCCCCUUGCAUGCUCUCACCUGUCUCCCUGACCCCUGCACCCACAUGCCUGCCCCUUUGCAUGAAUCUACCUUCCCCCUUGCCCCCCUGCAUGCACCCAUGAGCUCCUUGCACGCAGCCACCUGCCCCCCUGCAUGCACUCACCCACCUGCCCCCCUGCAUGCACCCAUGAGCUCCUUGCACGCAGCCACCUGCCCCCCUGCCCCUGGCAAGCACCCAUGGGCACCCUUGCACACACCUACAUGCACUUCUCCAUGCACCCACAGACCUUCACUCUCCCUGCACAUACCCACUGGCCCCCCUGCACGCACCCUCCUGCCUCCGAGGUACGUGCACCCACUGGCCCCCUGCCCACACUCAGUUGCCCUCCUGCAUGCACCCAUCUGCCCCUCAGCAUGCACUCACCCUUUUUCAACACCCCUGCACACACCCAGGGGCCUCUGUCCCACAUCUUCCUCUGGGACCCCCUUGCCCUGGUUACAGGGUACUGCAGUUGGAGGGAAGAGACGAGGCUGA